GACGAACGCUGGCGGCGUGCUUAACACAUGCAAGUCGAACGGAAAGGCCUGCUUUCCCUUGUGGAUUGCGGGUGCUCGAGUGGCGAACGGGUGAGUAACACGUGAGUGAUCUGCCCCCAACUUGGGUAUAAGCCUGGGAAACUGGGUCUAAUUCCCGAUAGGACUGCAGGGUGGUGCCUGUGGUGGAAAACGAUUUUCUAGUGGUUGGGGAUGAGCUCGCGGCCUAUCAGCUUGUUGGUGGGGUAAUGGCCUACCAAGGCGGCGACGGGUAGCCGGCCUGAGAGGGUGGACGGCCCCAUUGGGACUGAGAUACGGCCCAGACUCCUACGGGAGGCAGCAGUGGGGAAUAUUACACAAUGGGCGGAAGCCUGAUGCAGCGACGCCGCGUGGGGGAUGACGGCCUUCGGGUUGUAAACUCCUUUCGACCGCGAGGAAGCCACCUGGUUGGAAGGGUGGUGACGGUAGUGGUAGAAGAAGCACCGGCUAACUACGUG
Molecule: ribosomal RNA, 494 nt
Filed under: uncultured bacterium
Lineage: Bacteria
Description: partial 16S ribosomal RNA
Rfam family: Bacterial small subunit ribosomal RNA
Source: RNAcentral